UCUUUCGGGAUCUUGAGAGCGGCGUACGGGUGCGGAACACGUGUGCAACCUGCCUUUAUCUGGGGGAUAGCCUUUCGAAAGGGAGAUUAAUACCCCAUAAUAUAUUGAGUGGCAUCACUUAAUAUUGAAAACUCCGGUGGAUAGAGAUGGGCACGCGCAAGAUUAGAUAGUUGGUGAGGUAACGGCUCACCAAGUCUGCGAUCUUUAGGGGGCCUGAGAGGGUGAUCCCCCACACUGGUACUGAGACACGGACCAGACUCCUACGGGAGGCAGCAGUGAGGAAUAUUGGACAAUGGGUGCAAGCCUGAUCCAGCCAUCCCGCGUGAAGGACGACGGCCCUAUGGGUUGUAAACUUCUUUUGUAUAGGGAUAAACCUAGAUACGUGUAUCUAGCUGAAGGUACUAUACGAAUAAGCACCGGCUAACUCCGUGCCAGCAGCCGCGGUAAUACGGAGGGUGCAAGCGUUAUCCGGAUUUAUUGGGUUUAAAGGGUCCGUAGGCGGAUUUGUAAGUCAGUGGUGAAAUCUCACAGCUUAACUGUGAAACUGCCAUUGAUACUGCAAGUCUUGAGUGUUGUUGAAGUAGCUGGAAUAAGUAGUGUAGCGGUGAAAUGCAUAGAUAUUACUUAGAACACCAAUUGCGAAGGCAGGUUACUAAGCAACAACUGACGCUGAUGGACGAAAGCGUGGGGAGCGAACAGGAUUAGAUACCCUGGUAGUCCACGCCGUAAACGAUGCUAACUCGUUUUUGGGCUUUCGGGUUCAGAGACUAAGCGAAAGUGAUAAGUUAGCCACCUGGGGAGUACGAACGCAAGUUUGAAACUCAAAGGGAAUUGACGGGGGCCCGCACAAGCGGUGGAUUAUGUGGUUUAAUUCGAUGAUACGCGAGGAACCUUUACCAAGGCUUAAAUGGGAAAUGACAGGCUUAGAAAUAGGCUUUUUCUU
This 943-nucleotide ribosomal RNA is filed under the name Chryseobacterium sp. RNAcentral's name for it is "bacterial SSU rRNA". It matches the Rfam family "Bacterial small subunit ribosomal RNA", at positions 76 to 1019 of the family's 1533-position model. The record is from RNAcentral. Lineage: Bacteria; Pseudomonadati; Bacteroidota; Flavobacteriia; Flavobacteriales; Weeksellaceae.